UACGGGGGGGGCAAGCGUUGUUCGGAAUUACUGGGCGUAAAGGGCACGUAGGCGGCUCGCUAAGUCGGGUGUGAAAACUCUGGGCUCAACCCAGAGCCUGCACUCGAAACUGACGAGCUAGAGUUCUGGAGGGGAAAGCGGAAUUCCUGGUGUAGCGGUGAAAUGCGUAGAUAUCAGGAGGAACACCGGUGGCGAAGGCGGCUUUCUGGACAGAAACUGACGCUGAGGCGCGAAAGCUAGGGGAGCAAACAGG
Molecule: ribosomal RNA, 253 nt
Filed under: uncultured bacterium
Lineage: Bacteria
Description: partial 16S ribosomal RNA
Rfam family: Bacterial small subunit ribosomal RNA
Source: RNAcentral